GACGAACGCUGGCGGCGUGCUUAACACAUGCAAGUCGAACGGACAGGCGCGGCGUUUGUUGGGUGCUCGAUUGGCGAACGCGUGAGUAAAACGCGAGUAACCUGCCCUUGACUUUGGGAUAACUUCAGGAAACUGGGGCUAAUACCCGAGAGGAGCUCCUGCUGCAUGGUGGUGGUUGGAAAGAGUCGGCGGUUGUGGAUGGUUUCGCGGCUUAUCAGCUAGUUGGGGGGGUAGGGGCGUACGAAGUUUUUGAGGGGUAGGCGGCAUGGGAGGGUGGCCGGCCACAUGGGGACUGAGAUACGGCACAGACGCCUACCGGACGCAGCGGUCGGGAACAUUGCGCAAUAGGGGCGAGUCAGAUGCAGAAGUGCCGCGUGCGGGAUGCUGGGUUUCGGGGUGUAAACAAAUUUGUAAUGUAAUGAAGACGUAGUGACGGUAAUGGGUCAAGAAGCCCCGGCUAACUACGUG
This 468-nucleotide ribosomal RNA is filed under the name uncultured bacterium. RNAcentral's name for it is "partial 16S ribosomal RNA". It matches the Rfam family "Bacterial small subunit ribosomal RNA", at positions 28 to 507 of the family's 1533-position model. The record is from RNAcentral.